Molecule: long non-coding RNA, 458 nt
Filed under: Homo sapiens (human)
Lineage: Eukaryota; Metazoa; Chordata; Mammalia; Primates; Hominidae
Description: HSALNT0064595
Source: RNAcentral
CCUUAGAGAUAAUGAAGUCUAUUGCACAGAAAGAAACUGGAAUCAGGCUGUUUAUUGACUGCAGAGAAGUAGCGUCUCUUGAAUGCAACAAACUUCACAUCCAUCAAAUUCUUAACAUGAACCAGGUUCUUUGCUUACAUUCGCAUAGGCAUAUCGGUCUGGUUUUACUUGUCAGGAGGGACUGAAGAAAGCACAGGACGUAAGUUCCUCCAAGAGCAUUCUUGGAGCAGCAUCUCAUCGCUGUCCUUGGGUGUAGCCUCCCUUUUGUGAGGUUCACUCCCUCAGCUGGAGGAUGAACCACAGUGCUGCUGCAGACCUAGCUGAUGUCACAGUUGUUCAAAAGGUUCCUCUUGAAGAAUGAAAUCCUUGGGCUGCCAUUAGGAACUGCAUGCAGUUAAGCCGUAUAACCUCUCUGAUUUUUAGUUUCUCCAUCUAUUUUAUAAAAUAAAACAUUGAAC